This 510-nucleotide ribosomal RNA is filed under the name Paenibacillus taichungensis. RNAcentral describes it as "bacterial SSU rRNA". It matches the Rfam family "Bacterial small subunit ribosomal RNA", at positions 43 to 529 of the family's 1533-position model. Lineage: Bacteria; Bacillati; Bacillota; Bacilli; Caryophanales; Paenibacillaceae. The record is from RNAcentral.
CAUGCCUAUACAUGCAAGUCGAGCGGACUAUGCAUGAGAAGCUUGCUUCCUCUGAUAGGUUAGCGGCGGACGGGUGAGUAACACGUAGGCAACCUGCCCUCAAGUUUGGGACAACUACCGGAAACGGUAGCUAAUACCGAAUAGUUGUUUUCUUCUCCUGAAGAGAACUGGAAAGACGGAGCAAUCUGUCACUUGGGGAUGGGCCUGCGGCGCAUUAGCUAGUUGGUGGGGUAACGGCUCACCAAGGCGACGAUGCGUAGCCGACCUGAGAGGGUGAUCGGCCACACUGGGACUGAGACACGGCCCAGACUCCUACGGGAGGCAGCAGUAGGGAAUCUUCCGCAAUGGGCGAAAGCCUGACGGAGCAAUGCCGCGUGAGUGAUGAAGGUUUUCGGAUCGUAAAGCUCUGUUGCCAGGGAAGAACGCUUGGGAGAGUAACUGCUCUCAAGGUGACGGUACCUGAGAAGAAAGCCCCGGCUAACUACGUGCCAGCAGCCGCGGUAAUACGUA